ACUCGAGUGGCGAACGGGUGAGUAACACGUGGGUGAUCUGCCCUGCACUUCGGGAUAAGCUUGGGAAACUGGGUCUAAUACCGGAUAGGAGCCAUCUUUAGUGUGGUGGUUGGAAAGUUUUUCGGUGUAGGAUGAGCUCGCGGCCUAUCAGCUUGUUGGUGGGGUAAUGGCCUACCAAGGCGGCGACGGGUAGCCGGCCUGAGAGGGUGAUCGGCCACAUUGGGACUGAGAUACGGCCCAG
Molecule: ribosomal RNA, 241 nt
Filed under: uncultured Actinomycetales bacterium
Lineage: Bacteria; Bacillati; Actinomycetota; Actinomycetes; Actinomycetales
Description: partial 16S ribosomal RNA
Rfam family: Bacterial small subunit ribosomal RNA
Source: RNAcentral